UCUCCGUAGGUGAACCUGCGGAGGGAUCAUUACAGAGUUCUCGCCCUCGCGGGUAGAUCUCCCACCCACUGUUAUCGUUACUGUGUUGCUUUGGCGGGCCGCCGGGCCCCGCUCGGCCGCCGGCUCCGGCUGGCGCGCGCCCGCCAGAGGCCCGGCAAACUCUGAAUGUUAGUGUCGUCUGAGUACUAUAUAAUAGUUGAAACUUUCAACAACGGAUCUCUUGGUUCUG
RNAcentral lists this unclassified non-coding RNA (229 nucleotides) under plant metagenome. Its description in RNAcentral is "partial contains small subunit ribosomal RNA, internal transcribed spacer 1, and 5.8S ribosomal RNA". The record is from RNAcentral.